This 498-nucleotide ribosomal RNA is filed under the name uncultured bacterium. RNAcentral describes it as "partial 16S ribosomal RNA". It matches the Rfam family "Bacterial small subunit ribosomal RNA", at positions 30 to 523 of the family's 1533-position model. The record is from RNAcentral.
AUUGAACGCUGGCGGCAUGCCUUACACAUGCAAGUCGAACGGUAACAGGUCUUCGGAUGCUGACGAGUGGCGAACGGGUGAGUAAUACAUCGGAACGUGCCUAGUAGUGGGGGAUAACUACUCGAAAGAGUGGCUAAUACCGCAUGAGAUCUACGGAUGAAAGCAGGGGAUCGCAAGACCUUGUGCUACUAGAGCGGCCGAUGGCAGAUUAGGUAGUUGGUGGGAUAAAAGCUUACCAAGCCGACGAUCUGUAGCUGGUCUGAGAGGACGAUCAGACACACUGGGAGUGAGAAACGGCCAAGACUCCUCCGGGAGGCAGCAGUGGGGAAUUUUGGACAAUGGGCGCAAGCCUGAUCCAGCAAUGCCGCGUGCAGGAUGAAGGCCUUCGGGUUGUAAACUGCUUUUGUACGGAACGAAAAGCCCCGGGUUAAUACCCUGGGGUCAUGACGGUACCGUAAGAAUAAGCACCGGCUAACUACGUGCCAGCCGCCGCCGUAA